Molecule: unclassified non-coding RNA, 315 nt
Filed under: plant metagenome
Description: partial contains 5.8S ribosomal RNA, internal transcribed spacer 2, and large subunit ribosomal RNA
Rfam family: 5.8S ribosomal RNA (bases 1-105)
Source: RNAcentral
GAACUGCGAUAAGUAAUGUGAAUUGCAGAAUUCAGUGAAUCAUCGAGUCUUUGAACGCACAUUGCGCCCCCUGGCAUUCCGGGGGGCAUGCAUGUCCGAGCGUCAUUGCUGCCCUUCAAGCCCGGCUUGUGUGUUGGGUCGUCGUCCCCUCCGGGGGACGGGCCCGAAAGGCAGCGGCGGCACCGCGUCCGGUCCUCGAGCGUAUGGGGCUUUGUCACCCGCUCGAUAAGGACCGGCCGGGCGCCAGCCGGCGUCUCCAACCUUUUUUUCUCAGGUUGACCUCGGAUCAGGUAGGGAUACCCGCUGAACUUAAGC